CUUAUUUUUAUAUACUAUCUGGAAGGCGGGUGGUUGGGCCAGUAAAUGUUUGGAUCCAGCAGCGAUUGAAACCUUGAAAGCAGUGCAAUUUGGAUCCGACAGUGGCCACCAUGGGAGCGGCGUCGAGCUCAUCAACCUCGGACAUAUAGAGAUCGAGCUCACUAACGUUAGCGGAAAAGCUAUGUGCUACGUUGAUUCCGUUUGCAGUUUUAGUUGAGGUUCUGAUUCACAGCUUAUCGUCAUGUUUUCAUGAUCGUCCGGCGAAACCUCUUUAUACCUUUGAUGACGUCAGCCGUCUCGCUCGUGAUUCGCCAUUUUCGGUUAAUGAAGUUGAAGCGUUGCGUGAAUUGUUUAAUAAGUUGAGUUGUUCGAUUAUAGACGAUGGACUUAUACACAAGGAGGAACUCCAACUAGCUUUGCUCCAUUCAGCCUGUGGAGAGAAUCUUUUCUUGAACAAGGUUUUUGAUCUAUUUGACGAGAAGCAAAAUGGCGUUAUUGAAUUUGAGGAGUUUGUCCAUGUAUUGAGCAUCUUCCAUCCUAGUGGCCCAAUAGAACAAAAAAUUGAUUUUUCUUUCAGAUUAUAUGAUUUGCGAAAAACUGGCUACAUAGAACGGGAAGAAGUUCAAGAAAUGAUUGUUGCCACUUUAAAGGAAACCGGGAUGCGUCUUUCAGAUGAAGUUCUUGAAGAGAUAAUCGAUAAUACCUUUGCUGAUGCGGAUGCUGACAAGGAUGGAAGAAUCAAUCAAGAAGAGUGGAGGAACUUUGUCAUUCAGCGACCCCAUCUCUUGAAGAACAUGACUCUUACAUCUCUUAGGGAUGUGACCACGGCCUUCCCGAGUUUUAUAUUCAACACAGGAGUAGAUGAUGACUCCUUUCGAAAAAAGGAGUAGAUGACGACUGAAGACAUAAGGUUCCAACAACGGCGUCUUUGACGGUUAGGUAGUCAGAAAGUUUGUAUUAUUGUAUUUUUUGAAACUAUUGUUUGAAAUAAACAACACUUAAAACAAUGGCCGUUAUGGUAAAUAACAAUUAUAUUAUAUAUAUAUUGUUGAUGAAACA
Molecule: RNA transcript, 1059 nt
Organism: Helianthus annuus (common sunflower)
Lineage: Eukaryota; Viridiplantae; Streptophyta; Magnoliopsida; Asterales; Asteraceae
Gene name: calcineurin B-like protein 10
Exons: 9
Source: RefSeq, a predicted model, not a curated record